CGCGUAGGCGGCUUGGUAAGGGGGCGGUGAAAGCCCGGGGCUCAACCCCGGGUCUGCCGGACCGACUGCCGAGCUCGAGCACACUAGGGGCAGGUGGAAUUCCGGGUGUAGCGGUGGAAUGCGUAGAGAUCCGGAGGAACACCGGUGGCGAAGGCGGCCUGCUGGGGUGUGGCUGACGCUGAGGCGCGACAGCGUGGGGAGCAAACAGGAUUAGAUACCCUGGUAGUCCACGCCGUAAACGAUGGGCACUAGGUGCUCGGGGGAGCGACCCCUUGGGUGCCGGCGCUAACGCAUUAAGUGCCCCGCCUGGGGAGUACGGCCGCAAGGCUGAA
This 332-nucleotide ribosomal RNA is filed under the name uncultured bacterium. RNAcentral describes it as "bacterial SSU rRNA". It matches the Rfam family "Bacterial small subunit ribosomal RNA", at positions 568 to 898 of the family's 1533-position model. The record is from RNAcentral.